UACGGGGGGAGCAAGCGUUGUUCGGAUUUACUGGGCGUAAAGGGCGCGUAGGCGGCGUGGCAAGUCACUUGUGAAAUCUCCGGGCUUAACUCGGAACGGUCAAGUGAUACUGCUGUGCUAGAGUGCGGAAGGGGCAACUGGAAUUCUUGGUGUAGCGGUGAAAUGCGUAGAUAUCAAGAGGAACACCUGCGGCGAAGGCGGGUUGCUGGGCCGACACUGACGCUGAGACACGAAAGCGUGGGUAGCAAACAGG
This 253-nucleotide ribosomal RNA is filed under the name uncultured bacterium. RNAcentral describes it as "partial 16S ribosomal RNA". It matches the Rfam family "Bacterial small subunit ribosomal RNA", at positions 524 to 776 of the family's 1533-position model. The record is from RNAcentral.